CCAAAAUAUAUGUUAAGUGGAAAAGGAUGUGGCGUUGCCCAGACAACUAGGAUGUUGGCUUAGAAGCAGCCAUCAUUUAAAGAGUGCGUAAUAGCUCACUAGUCGAGUGACACUGCGCCGAAAAUGUACCGGGGCUAAACAUAUUACCGAAGCUGUGGAUUGUCCUUUGGACAAUGGUAGGAGAGCGUUCUAAGGGCGUUGAAGCAUGAUCGUAAGGACAUGUGGAGCGCUUAGAAGUGAGAAUGCCGGUGUGAGUAGCGAAAGACGGGUGAGAAUCCCGUCCACCGAUUGACUAAGGUUUCCAGAGGAAGGCUCGUCCGCUCUGGGUUAGUCGGGUCCUAAGCUGAGGCCGACAGGCGUAGGCGAUGGAUAACAGGUUGAUAUUCCUGUACCACCUAUAAUCGUUUUAAUCGAUGGGGGGACGCAGUAGGAUAGGCGAAGCGUGCGAUUGGAUUGCACGUCUAAGCAGUAAGGCUGAGUAUUAGGCAAAUCCGGUACUCGUUAAGGCUGAGCUGUGAUGGGGAGAAGACAUUGUGUCUUCGAGUCGUUGAUUUCACACUGCCGAGAAAAGCCUCUAGAUAGAAAAUAGGUGCCCGUACCGCAAACCGACACAGGUAGUCAAGAUGAGAAUUCUAAGGUGAGCGAGCGAACUCUCGUUAAGGAACUCGGCAAAAUGACCCCGUAACUUCGGGAGAAGGGGUGCUCUUUAGGGUUAACGCCCAGAAGAGCCGCAGUGAAUAGGCCCAAGCGACUGUUUAUCAAAAACACAGGUCUCUGCUAAACCGUAAGGUGAUGUAUAGGGGCUGACGCCUGCCCGGUGCUGGAAGGUUAAGAGGAGUGGUUAGCUUCUGCGAAGCUACGAAUCGAAGCCCCAGUAAACGGCGGCCGUAACUAUAACGGUCCUAAGGUAGCGAAAUUCCUUGUCGGGUAAGUUCCGACCCGCACGAAAGGCGUAACGAUUUGGGCACUGUCUCAACGAGAGACUCGGUGAAAUCAUAGUACCUGUGAAGAUGCAGGUUACCCGCGACAGGACGGAAAGACCCCGUGGAGCUUUACUGUAGCCUGAUAUUGAAAUUCGGCACAGCUUGUACAGGAUAGGUAGGAGCCUUUGAAACGUGAGCGCUAGCUUACGUGGAGGCGCUGGUGGGAUACUACCCUAGCUGUGUUGGCUUUCUAACCCGCACCACUUAUCGUGGUGGGAGACAGUGUCAGGCGGGCAGUUUGACUGGGGCGGUCGCCUCCUAAAAGGUAACGGAGGCGCUCAAAGGUUCCCUCAGAAUGGUUGGAAAUCAUUCAUAGAGUGUAAAGGCAUAAGGGAGCUUGACUGCGAGACCUACAAGUCGAGCAGGGUCGAAAGACGGACUUAGUGAUCCGGUGGUUCCGCAUGGAAGGGCCAUCGCUCAACGGAUAAAAGCUACCCCGGGGAUAACAGGCUUAUCUCCCCCAAGAGUUCACAUCGACGGGGAGGUUUGGCACCUCGAUGUCGGCUCAUCGCAUCCUGGGGCUGUAGUCGGUCCCAAGGGUUGGGCUGUUCGCCCAUUAAAGCGGUACGCGAGCUGGGUUCAGAACGUCGUGAGACAGUUCGGUCCCUAUCCGUCGUGGGCGUAGGAAAUUUGAGAGGAGCUGUCCUUAGUACGAGAGGACCGGGAUGGACAUACCUCUGGUGUACCAGUUGUCGUGCCAACGGCAUAGCUGGGUAGCUAUGUGUGGACGGGAUAAGUGCUGAAAGCAUCUAAGCAUGAAGCCCCCCUCAAGAUGAGAUUUCCCAACUUCGGUUAUAAGAUCCCUCAAAGAUGAUGAGGUUAAUAGGUUCGAGGUGGAAGCAUGGUGACAUGUGGAGCUGACGAAUACUAAUCGAUCGAAGACUUAAUCAA
RNAcentral lists this ribosomal RNA (1874 nucleotides) under Staphylococcus aureus. RNAcentral's name for it is "partial 23S ribosomal RNA". It matches the Rfam family "Bacterial large subunit ribosomal RNA", at positions 1047 to 2925 of the family's 2925-position model. The record is from RNAcentral. Lineage: Bacteria; Bacillati; Bacillota; Bacilli; Caryophanales; Staphylococcaceae.